UUAGUAAUUUUAUUGUUAAUUUCCCCCUUUGUCCUUGCCAAAUAUUGUUUUAAUUGUUGAUAUAUACUCAUUUUUGGUAUUUGGACCUAUCUACAGGAAGUAGAACUGAAAAAUGCUAAAAAGGGAAUUUUAUUGAGGAAAAUCCUCCACACCUUAGAGCCUCCAGCAGAUAUACAAGUCGGGCCCAUAUGGUGCUACCAAAAACUCCAUUUUCGGUUGCUGAUGGAGAGCUCUCAUUAUCGGUAGUUGGCUUGUACGUGUAGGAGUCCUCCUACCAAAAGGAAACAAGAAGAGUGGAAUUGGCAGGAGCUUUCCUCUUGUACUUGGACUUCCAAUUUAUUCGGCGGGGACCACAGGAAAAAGAAAGGCAUUAGUCAUUGGACUUUGGAAGGAAAGAAACGUAGGAAGCUUUGAGAGUUGUUUUUGUUCCUUAUUUGUGGGGACCACGGAGAGAAGUGAAGCAAUUUGUUUUAGAUUAGGAGACAAUUCUUUUCCUUUGGCCGCGGCUUUAUCUUUGGGGAAUUGAGAGUUUUUUUUAGGAUAGUUUUAGUUUUGUUUCUUUCUUGGCUCUUUUGAUGGCCUGGACCUCAUUGGAAUUACUUGAAGAUUUUCUCAUGAGACGUGGCUAAGUUUGUCUAAUCAAGAACAACGGAGGACUUGGUUCUACUAAAUUUGUGAGAUCGAAUUAGUUUUUAUUUAUUUCCAUUAUUCACUGGUAUUUGUCUAUCUUCUGCUUUAUGUUCAUAUGGUUGUUUUAUUAUUCGAUUAUCCAGGGCCCGGAUUCUAGAUUAAUUCAAUAACCUGAAGCCAAUUAGGAUAGUUAAAUCCGUAAUUGUUUAAUUAUUCUAAACUGGUGGCAACUGGCAUGAUUGGGUUUGUGUCAGGGAGAUAGACAGGCUAACUUAAAGAGACCCUCGUAGCGUGUUGAUUGGUUAGAAUUAGGCUCUUCUAAUUAUUCAUGCAAUUAGGGAAUUGAACUUCUAUGGUCGUACCUAGGGUUAUUUCCUGAUUAGAGAAAUAGUCAACGGUCGUACCUUGGCUAUCGACAAAUUGAGGAAGAGUUGGUUGUUUAUCGCGUGUAUGACAACUAUAACUAAUUUAUCAGAUAGUAACUGGAAUAAUCCUUGCAUCUGUGAUCGAAUUAAGUGAACCAUCUCCGAAGUUGUCUCUUGGCUAGAGUUCAUCCAUUUUUAUUGUUAUUGUGAUAAUUAGUUAUUUGAGUUGUAGUUACUUUAUUUUAUUUUAAUUUAUUCCAAGUAAUUUAGUUACUCUCAUUUUCAAAAACCCCCCAUAUCUGGAACUUGAGAAGAAAUUAAAUUAUCCCCAGUCCCUGUGGAUUCGACCCUGCUUACCGCUAUAUACAGAAUUUGUAUUUUAUUUGAGCAGGUAUUUAUUAUUGCACAGGUUCGGCCCCUGUCAAUGGGGAUGCCUCUAAAACAAUCACUGACCGGUACAAGUUGGAGUUUAAGAAGAGAAAAAUGGAACUUGGGGGUAGGGAUGCAAAAUCUGAAUUAGAGAAAUAUUUGAAUGAGGAUUGUGAGGAAGAUGAUGAGAGAUUUGAUAUCUUGUUAUGGUGGAAGGCCAAUAGCCUUAGAUUCCCAAUCCUUUCGAAAGUUGCUCGUGAUGUGUUAGCAGUCCCAAUUUCUACCGUGGCCUCCGAAUCUGCUUUGAGUACCGGAGGUCGUGUUCUUGAUACAUUUAGGAGUUCUUUGACUCCUAGAAUUGUGCAAAGUUUAAUAUGUGCUCAAGAUUGGUUUCGAUCCUCCAAGACAGAAUUAAAUGUAGAAGAAAAUCUGAAAGAACUUGAAGCCUUCGAAUCUGGUAAGCUAUCAAAAUUUUUAUUACAGAAUUUGAAGUAUUUCUUUAUUUCUAAUAAUUGCCUUUAUGAUACUUCAUGAAUUUUGUUUGUUCUUGCAGAGUUGCUGAAGACCGGAACUGAAUCAACUAUAAUUGACCUUUGAGAGGUCACAAAUGCUGAAGUUUGCAUUUUUGAGAGUUGAACCACCUAUAAUUGUUUGUUCUUGUGGAUUGUGGAUUGUUUCUAGAUAAUUGACCUUUAUGAUUUCUGGAUUGAUUUCUGUAAUUUCUGAUUGUGGAUUUGUGAUUUGUGAUUUCUGGAUUUGUGGAUUUAUCAUUUCUGGAUAUGUAUGAAGUUUGGGAUGGUUAGUAAUUCUGAAGUUUGGGAUGGCCUCUCUUGUCACUUAGCAAAUUCUACAUCUGUUUUGAACUGGUAGCUACUGGGGAAAGUUUUAUAUGUUGUGAUUUGGUAGUGCAAUCAUCUGGCUGUUGUGCUUAUGGACGUGAUUACUACUUACUUCUAUUUUUUUCCAUUAUUUUGGUGCAGCUUUAUGAAUGAUAAUUGUAAACAGCACUUAUUUUAUUGCUAGAAAUGAUAUGGCUCGAUAUCCAUUUUUCAAAAAAUGAACCUCUGUGCAUUGUUAUGGUUUGCUUUCCAGGCUGCACUUUGCCUGGCUCCUAUACUUCAAAAAUUGUUAAUUUGUUUUUAGGCCCCUAAGUGAAUGUAUAGUUAUUAUACAAAGCAAAACAAAAGGAAAACAGGCUGCUUCAGCUUCAGGAAUUCGGACAAAUUCGAUCAAUUUGUGUUUACCGAAUUGAAUUUGAAUUCGAUAUUUGGUAAUUCGAAUACGAAUUAGGUCAAAAUAUCCCAGCACCAUUUACCAAAAAUUACCGAUUUCAAUCUACCGAAUUACCUAUUUCGAAUUCGAUGCUCACCCCUACCUGAAAGUGGUCAAGGGGAGUUGGGAUGCUACCUCCGUUGGGUCACCUCUCAGAGUUCUGUCAGAUAAGAUGCGAAAGGUGAAACAUGCACUCCGGCAGUAGUCUAGGAGUGAGUUUGGGGACAUUUUCUUGGCAAGCCGUAUGGCAGAGCAAAGGGUAUUGGAAGCUGAGAUAGCUUAUGAUAACCAACCAUCGGACGAGUUGCUUUUGAAUUUACAAGAGGACCGUGCGAAAUUGAGAUGGGUCGUGGUGGUUGAAGAAGAUUUCUGGAGGCAGAAAGCUCGAGGUAAAUGGCUCUCAGACGGUGACAAGAAUACGACAUUUUUUCACGCUGCCGUGACGGAGAGGAGGAUGAAAUCGGUUAUACAUAGGAUUCGGAAGACCAAUGGGGAGUGGGUGGACAACGAAACAAGCAUUUGUGCUGAAGCCGUUUCUUUCUUUGAGAAUUUGUUCACAGAGGAGGGAAGCAGGCCGUCCAGCGAGAUAUUAGAGAUUAUCCCAAUGAUACUCACUGAGCAGGAUAACAUGGAGCUGACAGAGGUCCCGUCACUAAACGAAGUCAAGAAAGUCAUUUUUUCGAUGGAUGGGGAUAGUGCGGCGGGCCCGGAUGGCUUCACAGGGAAGUUUUUUACUGAGGCAUGGGAGGUGGUGGUUGAGGAUGUUCACAGGGCGAUCAUGAGCUUCUUUUGUAGAGCGAUGCUACCACGAAGUGUCACUGCUACUGCUAUCGUGUUACUUCCCAAGGCACAGUGUCCACAAGAUUUUACUCAAUACCGAUCGAUAAAUUUGUGCAACUUUGUCAACAAGGUAAUUUCCAAAAUUUUAUCCUCCCGUUUGGCUAGAGUUUUGCCUCGUAUUGUCUCUCCACAGCAGAGUGGCUUUGUGCCUGGACGGCAGAUGGCAGAUAACUUUCUUCUUGCUCAAGAGUUGUUGAGUGACACAAAGAAACCCAAUCGGGGCGGGAACGUGAUGCUCAAAUUGGGCAUGAUGAAAGCUUAUGACAGGAUUUUCUGGGUUUUCUUGAUACAAGUACUGCAGCGUUUUGGGUCUAGCGAGAUAUGGAUUGACAUGGUUUGGCGGUUGAUCUCUAAUAUCUGGUUUUCUGUUAUCGUGAAUGGAUUACCGCAUGGGUUCUUUAAGUCCACGCGAGGGUUGCGGCAAGGAGAUCCAAUUUCACCGGCCUUGUUUGUGAUUGGAGCAGAGGUUCUCUCUCGGGUUUUAAAUGCGUUAGCGGGGCAUCGUAGCUUCCGACCGUUCAAAAUCCCGAGUGGCUACCCUCUAGUGACUCAUUUGGCAUAUGCUAAUGACGUUGUGAUCUUCACGAGCGGCCUCAAGGCCUCGAUCAAGUUGGUCAAAGGGGUUGUCGAUGGAUAUUGUGGGGUGUCGGGCAGAAAGUUAAUUGUCAGAAGAGUUGUUUCUCGGUGCACCCAGCUUUUCCCCCGCAAAGGCGCGCAAUGAUUGGAGUGGUGACAGGUUUCUCGUACAAAUCAUUCCCAAGCAAAUACCUUGGCUGCCCGCUAUUUAUUGGACGGCGUAGAACGAGUUACUUUGGAGAGAUUUGCAAUAUCAUAAUCACUAGAAUCUUAUCAUGGAAGCAUCGAGUUCUUUCGACUGGGGGUAAGAUAGUACUGCUACGGAGUGUGUUGUCUUCGAUGUCGAUUCAUUUGUUGGCAGUGGCUACGCCGCCGAGGAGGGUUUUUGCCUUGCUGAAAAAGGUGAUGGCGAAUUUCUUGUGGGGCUCGACAAAUUUUGGACCUAAGUUCCAUUGGAUUAGUUGGGGUGAUUUGUGCCACCCACACGAGGAAGGUGGGAUCGGCGUUCGGAGUAUUGUGAAGGUGUAUGAUGCUUUUUCCAUUAAGCUCUGGUGGACCUUUAGGCAACAACAAUCUCUGUGGGCAAAGUUUCUCUCAGCAAAGUACUGUAAAGGGGUCCAUCCAUGCCUGGCAGAGGGUGCCAACUCACACUCUUCAAUGUGGCAGAAACUAUGUUCGGUCUAGCAUUUGGCAGAGGAGCACGUCAGUUGAUUCUGAAUAAGGGAUUGAUGGAUUUCUGGCAUGAUAAUUGGUUGGGGACAGGAGCCAUAUGCCAUCGGGUAGAGAUUUUUCAUGAACAUAGAGUUUCAGAUUUUGUCACACAGGCAAGGUGGAAUUUGGGGCUACUCAACCAAGUUUUAGAGCCUGGGGUGGUGAGGCAGGUCAUAGAUGUUCCCCCUCCUUCCUCUCAAGGGUAUGACAGGAUGGUUUGGGCUUUAACGCAGGAUGGAGUGUUUUUUAUUGCCUCGGCGUACUCUCUGGUUGUGCAGGCGUCUAAUGGGUCCUGGGUGGCCUCCUAAUUUUGGCUUAAGGGAUGCCCAAUCAAGAUCUCUUUCUUCAUGUUACGGCUCCUACGGCCAAGGCUUCCCAUGUCGGAUGUUCUACGUAAAUUUGGGAUUCACGGCCCAUCUAGGUGUCACUGUUGCGCGGUUCCAUACGAGGAGGGGCUUGACCAUAUUUUUUGCACAGGGGAUGUAGCAACGGAGGUUUGGAGUAGUUUCGAGGACCCAGGAGAGAUGGGCAGGGUGUCCAAUUUGCGGCACAGGGUGCUACAGUGGUGGUUGCGCUGCGGGCAAAAUGUGUACCUCAAAUUCGUCUAUCGGCUGCUCCCUAUGCUCACCUGCUGGGAACUGUGGAAAGCACGAAACAAGGGGGUCUUUGAAGGGAGGAGGAUGGUGGGUAUUGAGGUGGUGCGGCAGGUUUUUCACCAAUUAAGGGACUUAUUUCAUGGCCAAUUUCCGGAGAUAACAUUUUCGUCGGGCUCUUGGGAAGGGUUCUACUCUUCUUUGUUGGCUUUGAGAAGGAGGAUGUCAAUACUCCUAGUGCGUUGGAUGGCUCCCACAGUAGGGUGUAAGUUGAAUUCAGAUGGUUGUACUAGGGGGAACCCGGGAGUUAAUGGGGGUGGAGGCGUGGUGAGGGACUCGGAAGGGCAGGUCAUUGUCGGAUAUUCCUGUUUCUUUGGCUCCUUGACGAGUUUACACGCGGAGCUCAAGGCUAUGGCAUUUGGGGUCCAAUUAUGUGUAACCCAUGGCUUGCAUGACCUCCACAUCGAGGCUGAUUCGCUAGUUUUGGUGGAGAUUCUACAAGGGAAACUGGGAUGCCCGUGGAGACUACAAUGGGAGUUGGAGGGCUUGCUUAGAUAUAAGCGUCAUUUCCGGGAAAUCACGCAUUGCUAUAGAGAGGCGAACAAGCCGGCUAAUUUUUUGGCAAACCUAGGAGCUGACACGGAGCUGGAGACGAUUUAUGGGAGUCAUAGCGAAUUGCCUGUGCGGGUCCGGGUGAGAUCCAGAUGGAGCAGUUAUGAUGAGAACAUGAAGAUUUAGAUUCCCUUCAAAUUCAAGAAAAUUCAAAUUGAUGGUUGAUGGUGCAAUCGGGUUCAAGAAUCAUUGAAGAUUUGCCAUGCUUAUUUCUUGUUAUUUAUUUAAGUAAGUUUCCAGCAAUACUUGUUAGUUAGUCUUGAGUUAUUAAGGGAAAUAAAGGCUAAGGUCAUGUUGACUGUAGUUAAACCAAUUGAGUCAGUUAGUUUCCUAUUCCAAUUGAAUUAGAGUUUUAGGAAAGUAGUUAAUUGAUUCCAAAUUUAUUUAGGAAGUUGUGUCAAGUCAAAUAAGGAAGCUUGUAUUGUUUCCAAGUUUAGAUUAGGGUUUUGAGUCUUGUAAGGCUAUAAAUAGCCAACUUUAUUUAACAAUUCAGAUACAUGAGAUUGAAGAUGAAUUAAUAAAAAGAGAGUUGUUUCCUUUUAUGGAGUUCCUUGAUGGAACUUGCGUUUCUCCUUGAACAGUAUCAAAUAUUUAGCUUGGAUACUUGUGGUGUUCAAGGCAAGAUGAUCAUAUCAUCUUGUUCUUUCAAGCUAAUAACCAAUCCACUAGGUUUUUAGAGAAGGGUUCUCUUUAGGUCUAGCAAGGUAGUUAUUGUUCCAUAACCAAUAACCAAUCCACUAGGUUUUGAGAGACGGGUUCUCUUUAGGUCUAGCAAGGUAGUUAUUGUUCCAUAGCCUGAUCAAGAUAGAUCCUUCCGCUGCCUGAUCGACUUGGUUCUUCAAGACAGGUUCUUGUUGGGUCGAGUUUGUAUCAAAUUAGGUUUCCCAAAUUUUCGUAGGAGACUCUUGAGUUGAGGGUUGUGCCUUCCCUCAGGCGGAGGAAAGUAGGCUAACCUGGGAGCUUGGCUAAUUCGGGAUUCUUUAGAAAUAAGUAACAUAUACAUUUACUGCCAUGUGAUAUUUUUCUCCAAUUUGGGUUUGUUGGCAGGGAGUUUCAUCCAUUUAUAAGGGGAAACUCUGUCAAAUUUUUUUUAAAAUAAAUAAAAUAUUUGUUUAAAAAAAAAAGAUGUUUGAUUAGAAUUAAAACCCCUUAAUGGUUUAAUGCAUAUAUUAUUUUCAAAACAAAUGAUUCUUUUUUUUUUUUGUACGUAUGCUGGACUUCUUACCUUUAAUUUCUCUGUCUUUUCCACCCUACCCAAUCCUCCCCAAAUGAUUCUAUAUAAUAUGCUUUUAGUGUGCAAUUCCUCAUAUUCCUCGGUAUAUGUGCUUUUAUAUACUACUUGUAUAGUUGGAUUGCAUCAUCUUUUACACUAGAUUACUUUUCUAUUAAGAAGUGUAACUAAAGAGUGAUACUGGUAGGGAAGGAGUAGAGUAAAUUUAUAAUAUUAAGUUUAAAUUUUUCUAAAAGAAAAAAAAAUAAAAGACCAAACCGGAUAAUUCAUUCGUUCUUUUAUUUUUUGUGCUAUAAAAAGGUUAAAAGUACGAACAGUACAAUUAGUUCUUCAAAAUUCCCUUUAACUUUGAAAUGCUUAUGCACAGCAAAGGAAUCACAGAGUGGGAUAGAUGGGUUCUAUGGCAAUCCCACACAUUCCUUCUUUGGCAGCAAUAUCCCUUUCCAUCCUCAUGUAUCCAUCCUCUCCCCAUCCUUUACCCCAUGAAUUCUUGAUCCUCCAAUACUUCAAUGGGGAAUUACUGGUACCAUAACCAACCAAUGUUACACCAUGAUCUAUGUCAGUUCCACAUUCACCCGUGAAAACACCACCUGCAUAGAACUGGAAAUCUGCACCUGAAGCAUCAACCAUUACGGCCACUGGUUGGUCAGUUAAUGCUUGUAAAAGUGCCUUCUCAUUGUCUGCUGGGACGUAGUUGUAGCCACUGAUCUUGGCCACUGGUUCUUUUUCCUUCUUGGUGUCACAAGUGCCUUUAUUAUCUUUGGGAGGGUAGUUGCUCUCAGUCGUAAGUCCAUGUUGUUUGAUGAACUCAAAGGCAUCUUCUGUGGAGCCUUGAUAACAAUCAAGACCAGUGCUGCAGUCCACAAUUUCUUGAUUUGACAGCGUGUAUAGCUGUCCUGUUUUGAUCUUGAUUAGGGCUUCCACAGCAUCAACAGCAGGAAUUGUCCAAGCACCUGGGUAAUUUGGUUGUGUGCAUCAUAAAUUAGAGAAUUCUAACAGUCAUGAUUUGUGUUAAUUAAACAACUGGAAAAAAAAAAGAAAGAAAAACCUCUGUCCAAAUGAUUUCUUUUUGUUUUCAUUUUAAGAAAUUGCUAUAUCUUUCCUUCUCUUUCCCCUGUAAGGUUUGAAAUCUUCCCUUUGAACAAAAAAGAAAAAAAAUACGACUCUCUGAUUCUAUGCAGGAUUGACCUUAGUUGUACACCUUAACUACCUACCAUAAUAUAACUAAAAAUAUAAACGAAAAUGAUAAUUAGGUCCGACCUUUGGUCAUAAUUGGCUGAGGAAAGAUGGCAGUCUAAUUUAAAAGCUCUUAUUGUAGAUAAGUUUUAAGACUCUUCAAUACAUGCAACUAGAGUGCCAGAGUCUCUUUAAUGUGAAGUUUAUUAUAAAAUUUUCUCAAAUGAUUGUGUGAGAGCAAGGCCUUAAUCACAUCUAAAUCCAGUGAGACAGUUUAAGGAAUGGAAUCUCAUCCAGAAAUCCAUUAUAAAGCAAGGCCUUUUAAAGGGAGUAGCAGUGUGCCAUAAAAGACCAAGGACAACAAAUUAUAUUCUUGAAUACAAAAGCAAAGUCGAUAGUACUCUUGCAAACACAAUAAUAUCUUCCUGAAAUCAGGAUACGCUACAGAUCUAAACAAAAUUCAGAUGAACAAAGAAGCCCUUCUGGUUUCUUGAACAGGCCAAUUUUUGGAGUUUUCUCUUUACAUCUUUUUCAAAGUUUUUGUCUUCGUCAAACUUUUGUGAUUCUAUGGGAUAAUUUUCAACAAAAGCCUUAGUGUUAUGCAUUUUCUAUUUCGAAAGAUAACAUAGAUUAAUAUGUUCAUUUGACUAAAAUUGACAAAUGUACCAAUGGUAGUGGGAUGGUGGGAUAUCCUAACUUACCACAUGACACUUCGCGGAUUGGUGCAACAGCUCCCUUUCUCCUCCAAUCCAAGCUAGGGGGAAUUGCAGUAACAAUUUUAUCAUACUCAGAAGAAGACAGGAUUGCUGUUGACUUGUCCUUGGAGGGGCUUCUGUGCCCAAUAUGAGCUGCUUUGAACUCUUCAUUGGUCAAAUCCGCAAAUUGAUUGGCACUUAGCUUAUAUGGUUUGUUACCUGCUCUAUUAACCAAGUCAAUGUACUCCACAUUGGCCUUGAAUAUUUGGUAACGCUUUUCCUUCUCUGCAGUGUCCUUGUAUUGACGCCCAUAACCAGCCAUCCAAUGCUCAUGUCUUUCAAUCAUUGAAACGUCACUGAUUACCCGAGACCUGGCUUGGAAAACCAUCCACUGAAUCAGAAGAAUAGAGAAGAAUUGCUUCACAGAUUUUGAUGCCAUUAUGCUAAAAAAAGUUACUAGAAAAACUUACUUGAUUUAGUAGUACAAUCACAUGAAAUCAUGUCACUUAUAUAGGUUUGAAGGGUUAGAUUUUUAAACUUCUUAAAAUUAUGAUAGUGCCUAAUAUGAAUGUUGUUUUCCUACUUUCCGUGAAUGGCAAAGUAAUGUCCUUCUCUAUUUUCUUUCAGUUUGUAGCUUAUGAAUGUCAUCUUGUAGAAUUUCUUUAUCUAGUUUUAUGAGGUUUUCGGAAUGAGCUUCUUGAAAGUGACUAAUUUGAUAAAUUUCCUUGCUCAAUAACCAUUACCAUUUAGAAAUGUCAAUGAAGACAUUUGUAUGAUUACAAUCUGGUAGUCAAUUUUUGCUGUUUACAAGAAUAUUCAGUUUCAUGAUCAUGGUUUUGGUUGUGAGCAUAGUGAAGCCUAGAGAUAAUAGAGAGAGAGAGAGAGACUAAAAUUGGAAUCACACAUUCUAACUUUUGUGUUUAACUACAGCUCAUGAAGGUUCAAACCUUGAGGAAAUAAUUCACUAGUAUGUGACAAAUAAAGAUAGUUAAAAGUAUAAUGCGUUUGAAAUGGAGAAUUAUCUGCGAAAUUGAGUUUUUGUUGUCGUGUUAUGAGUUUCUAGACUAACUAGUUUUGUACCCGUUCGUUGAACGGGAAUUGUCGAAAAAAAUAAACUAUUUAGUCAAUUUUAUAAAAAUAUCGAUAUGAAAUACAAAUUUAAUAUAUAAUCUAUUAUAACUUGUCUUAAGUAUAUUACUAUGUGCACAUUGUAAUAUAAAGUAUUCUUAUAAUAUAAAUUUGAACAUCUAAUUCAGUGAAUAAUAAUUCAAAAUUGAAAAAAUAACAUUCAACAAUACCAUAACAUUCAAAAACUUGAAAAUAAAUAAAAAGUGCAGUAAAUAGUAUCAAAUAAUAUUCUACUCUUCAGAAACUUGUUUUUGUUUUUCUUCUGUUUGAACAUUCUCCUCGAUUUGUCCGUGCAACUCAGCAUUUAUUGAUUUUCCAUUAUCGCUGCAUGAUAGCAAAGCAAGAUAACUAAGUAUAAAAAAAAAAAAAUGAUUUAUCGCAUUCAAGGUUGUGUAUAACAAUACGUAAAGAUUAUAAUUUAAGAAAGUAAAAUAGUAUAUUAAAUCUAUCUUCUCAUGCAAAUCUUUUUAUGAGGAUUCCCUUCCUCUGUGGUUUUUGUUGAACCUCUGAUGAUUGAUUCAUAUGAAGUGUAUUGAAAUGCUGUUGAUUAGAAUCAUCUGUUGUACUAAUUAGGAUCUGGGAAGAAGAUGUUUCAGGUUGGUAUUGGUUGUCGUUCCACCAAUCUGAUAAUGAUUUAUCAAAAUUAAAGGUAAAAAUAUUAUGUGAGAUAUAAUAUGUGAAACAUAAGAGAAAUGUAUUGCACAUUACCUGUGAAAGCAUGAAAUGCAUUUCCUCCGAAAUCACAGUGGAACCAUCUAGUCACUGUAAAUCUAUUAUUACCUUGUUCCAGAUUGUAAUUGUUCAACUUGAUUUAGAACACAAAAGAUUUCCAAGUGAUCUUGUUUAUAAUUGUUGACACGAUUUCAUUGCUAAAUCCUUCCUGGAAAUGAAAUGCGUAAUAGAUUUUUUUUUUUUGUUAGAAUAUUCAACGGCUAAGAUAAGUGUCGGAUUGUCUACUAUUAUUAAAAAUAUUUUAAAAAAUUAGAUAUAAGUUACCUUGAGAAAGUUUGUGUUCUAUUAUUCUUUCAGCCUCUUAAUCAAAUAUAACAAACCAAGUACUACCGAUUGCAUCACUUACCAAGACUUUUAACAUAUACCUGUAUAAAUACACAUAUUCUAAAAGUUAUGUUUAUGUAGAUAUUGUAGCAAUUAAAAUAAUAAAAAGGUUAACACCUACGACAUACCUCAAUUUAGGAUACUCCACAUUUUGAUUGCAAGCAUUACACAGUUUAGGAUACUCCAUAUUUUUCUUACAAUACAGGGCCCUGGAUGUCGACUACUGACAACAUUGGAGAAUACUCCUUGGAUGUCGACUACUGACAGCAUUGAUAGUGGUAGCUAAUAUUCUAAAUGUAGAUAGAAUUUGCUUCUAAACUUCUUGAUUAUGAGAGCAAGGAAUUGAUGUAUUCUGCAAAGCACUUUCAUAGCGCUAUUUAUGAAGCAUAGACUAUAAGUGUAUAUAGCCAAUAGUUGCCGGAAGUUCAUGUUGUUUAAGUGAUCAGGUUCCUGACCUCUCUUCUAUUUAAACUAUGUUGGUAAGACAUAAGGCUGGAUACUUUUUUAAAAAACCUUGUGAAACCAUUCUCAAGUAUUUAAUUAAGUAAACGGCCAGAGUCUUUUAAUUAACUAAUGAAUUUGCAGAUAUAUCUAAUAGAGAUAUUUAAGUCUCUUGUAUUUAUAUUGCAUUACUUUCCAGUGCCUUUUGUUUUUGGUUGUUUUUCCUAAAGGCAAAUUAACAAACAUCUUAGCAUAUGAUCACAAAAAUCAAUUAACAAACAUGUUAGCAAGAAUCCUACAAAAAUAACGAUGAAGUAAUUGUUUAAAUCCUAUGUCUUCAUACAAAACAAAUAGAAAAUAAAGCCAAAAAAAUAAAAUUCAAGAUAUGUUACUAAACUCUUACAAUUGAAGAUCAACAUGCCUUUUUUAAAAAAAAAAUGUAUUAAAAGAAGAUGUACCUGAUAAUCAAGAGGAGUGGAAACCCAAAAUCGAUGCUUUAAUGUACCAACCGCUUGCACUGAAAAUACCUAACCAUGAAUUUGAUGCUUGAAAUCAAUAUAUUAUGGCUAUAUGUAGUGUAGGUAUAAGAAAUAAGAAUUGAUAAGGAUAUAAAGAGAUAUUGAUAAGAACAUUAAAAGUAGGUUUAUCUUGAUUUAAGUUGCUUAAAGUACAUAACUUUGGAUAGGAAAUAAGAAUCUUAUAAUAUUAAGAAUUCUUAUAGGAAAUAAUAAUUGAUAUAAAUCCAAAAAAAAGGAGCAAACCACGUAGGAAACUACUUGACGUCUCGUUAAGCCACAUAGGAAAGAGAAAAUAUGAAAGGAUAAGAAUGAGAAUACGACUUUAUUAUAUAUAUAUAUAUAUGAUUCGCCGGUUAGUUUCAAUAGUGAUUUUGGAAGAGAUUUUGGAGAUUUUUAACGUAUCACUUUCUUGAUAACAAUGUUAUUUAAUAAAAAUGAUGUCUAGCAAAAUUUACUUUCACGAUAUCCUUAUUUUGGGUUUGAAUUCCUAAUCUACAAUUUAAAAAUGAAUACUAAAUCUCUUAUAAUGGCCAAUUUGUCUUUGACAAUCAUAUGAAUAACAUUCUCUAUUAUAUUAAUUUGUAAAACACUAGUGAGGCAAAUAUCUAAUUCUGAAAAGGAUUUUUUUAAAAAAAAUUUUAAAAUUCUCAAACAGUGAAAAUAGAACUUUCAGAUCUCUGUCCUAGAUCCAUUUUUUUUAUCUCCAAAGUCAUGAUCCCUCCUAAGAGAUCAAUCUAAAAUUAAAGCACGAUUGCAAGCAUACAUUUUGGUAACUAAGCUGUCUUGAUCAACUUAAAUUGCUUAAAAUAUGUGUACCGAUGAUCAUGGAACUUUUUUUUUCUGGUAACAUCUAAAAGGCUUCCAAGGAGUCAAGGAAGACAACCAAAAGUUUGCACAUCCGAUCUAAAUAUUAGCAAAAUAAAUUCGGUAGGCCAAUAAGUUGUGGUUACUUGAGCUUGGGCUAAUGAGGGUUUAGAUUUUGGAUGGUUUCUUUCCUAUCAUCAAUUGGGUGAGUAUUGUGCGCUACCCAUGGUGAGCCAUUGGACUUGGGGACCGCAUUUGCCUUUCACAUUUUUACAAGUAUUUUAAUUUGGUACAUUAGCACUUUUUUUUUUUUCUUAUAGGGAUAAUUUCAAAAACCUCCCUUGAGGUUUUUGACAAUUUCACUCGGUUCCCCUUAGAUUUAAGAAACUACACUUACCCCUUGAUAUAGUAAAAUAUCUAUAAUGCCCUCCACUUAGUAGACAAUUUUAAAUUUAAGACAAUAAAUUUUCAAAACCUAAAAAAAUCUAUUUUUCUGUCUCUUGUCUAUUUUCUAAUUAAUAUAACCUUUUUUUAGAGAUAAUUUCAGAAACCUCCUCUGAGGUUUUUGACAAUUUCACUGAGUUCCCUUGAGGUUUUCAAUAUUACAAUUACCUCCCUUGAUGAAAGACAAUGACUAUAAUAACCUUCAUAAUUUUUUAAAAGACAAGCCAUUGAUAAAAAGGGAAAAAAUAACAGAAAAAAGGAAAAUGAAAAAAGGAAAACAAUUCUUCUUGACCAGGCCAUAUAUUAUGGCCAAACUAUUUCAGUCGUGGCCAUUAAAUUGUAACCUUCUAUCACUUAAUAUGCUAAUCAAGGUAGAUGUUUUCUUCCCUCUAUCACUCAAAUAUGCUACUGCUAUUGAUGAUGAUAGAAGCAAUCAUCACGGCCAACAACCCAAUUCUUCAUAUCAUUGAGUACAAAAAAACUAUUGGAUUACGGAAAAAUAUAAUUUGAUAGACUGUACUAAAAGUACUACCCCAAACUUGCAUUUUGUUGAUGUUUUGCCUGGUUCCUCUUUUAAUAGACAUCAAACUUGUUCUCAAUAAAAUCGUCUCGGUUCAGAUAAAAAAAAAUGUGGGCUAAUAUAGGAUGGCCAACCCAAAUGUUGAUAGCAGAGGUUAGAAAAAUUUUGGUAAGUAAGGGUUUGGCCAUUUGAGCGGGAAAAAGGUAAGGAUUGUGAGUUUUAUGACUAAUGGUUUAGUAGACAACAUAUGCAAGAAACCUAUAGAGAGGUAAAAUUGUGAAAGUAAGAAUUACAACAAUGGAUUUUGGCAUCUAAGACAAAGAGUUUGUUCGAAAGAAGAAAAAUGAUAAGAGUUUGAAAGUUUUGGUGGAUGUAGAAAAUCAUGAGGAUAAAAAAUAUCAAGACAUUGGUUAAGUAAUAAAGCUCAUAAUUUUGGUAGUACACAAGUGUAUUCUUGACUUUUAAAAAAUUUUAAUGAUUAUUCAUAUUAAGGAAAUUUAGAUGAGAGCAAUUUUGGGCAUUCAUAUACUUUUUUGGUCUUACAUCAUCAAGUUGAAAUCCAAACCCAUGUUCUAGGGGAGGUAUGUAUAAUUUUCAAAUCGUGAGGGGAGCUUUCUGAAAUUACUAGAAACCUCAAGGGAGGUUUCUGAAAUUAUCCCCUCUUUUUAUUAUCUUUAGUUUUGUGGAUAUUAACAAAUUGAAAUUACAAAAUCUACAAAGAGAGUAGAUUAUGUGUCAUACUAGAAGAAAUGAAGAGACUCACAGUGAUAGAGAAAUAAAUAAUGAAAUAGAUGAUUGAAAUAGAAAAAAGAACUAAAGAUGUGGAAUUAUUCAUAUUUUGUUUGUUGUUAAGAAAAACUUUUAUAAAAUGUCAAUAAUUACAUAAUGAUUUCUUUCAUCGGAUUAGAAAUUUUUUAUUAUGAUUUUAUUGUGGAAGUAUAAUUUAUUCUCUACUUUUAAGAUAUUAGUAAUAUUUUUAAGGGCAUCGGAGAGUUGUAAUAGUGGUUCUAGGUCAAAUUAGUUUAUAUUGAAGAGGUAUUUGAGCAUUGGUAUUUAAUUUAGGGGUAUAAAAUUAGUUGUCAAUGGGGUUUUUGUGUGUUUUUUUAAUCGUGAUAAGUAUUCAUAUUGUAUAUGUAAUUUAGGAUUUUUUGGAUGGCUACUUGAUUUUAGAACUUAUACUUGGAUGAUUGUUAAGGAUUUGGCUUGUUGAUUUAUGCAAAGUGUGGAAGAAAAUGUUGAUUUAUGCAAAGUGUGGAAGAAAAUGAUUGAGUAUAUAAUAUUUUUGUUUCUUAGUUUGGUACAAAAGGGCAAUUUAGGAUUCUUGAAAGAAACGCUAAGUUAUUGGACCUACAUUGUUACUAAAUAAUAAAAGUAGGAGAGAAUAUGUAAUUUUAAAAUCUGAGAGGAGCCCUUUGUAAUUAUGAGAAAGCUCAAGGGAGGUUUGUGAAAUUAUCCCUUAAUGUUUCAUCUUCGGCGUGGUCGUAAGGAACUGAUACCUUCGUCGUUCGUAUUAUAGGAUUCGUAACAUUUUUGGAUAAUUUGCAGUUGUAAAAAUAUGCAUGAUAAUGGAAUAGGAAUUUGGUGAAAAUUUUAAGUAAAUUAAAUAUAUAUAAAUUUGACUGCCUAUAUUGAAUCACACCAUUGGAAAGUAAUCAGUGAAUUCUGAUUUUGAGCAUGGUGAAUAAGUUGGACAGGUUUUUCAGUUAUGUAGAAUUUGAAGAUUUUUACUGACUAAUUUUGUUAGAUUAUAAUACAGUCCAUAUUUGCCAUCAUGUCAUCAAGUUAAAUUCACCGUGAGAUGGUGAAAUAAUUGUUUUUAAUUCUUAGAUCUUAAUAAUUUCAAUGAUUUAAUAUAGAAGCUGCUAUUUCCAUUAAAAGAUACAAGUUCAAGGAAUAAUACUCUAAAGGAACCAUAAAAUUCUCCUAUAAUACAAGAUGCAUGUACAGGUGAAAACUAGUGACCUGAGUUGAGGUCAUCGCUAGAUGAGCUCACCUGCAAAACAAAAAGUGGCUGAGACUAUGUUGCCAGUUUCACUCCAAUGCAUAAGUCAGAAGUUGUCGGGAGUUAUAUUGAGUGGUUUGGAUUACCUAUCUUUCCAAGUGAGUAAGGUGUUGAUAUUUAUACUAGAAAAGAUAGGUAAUAGAAUGAUGAGAUCUACUGUUAGUCUAAUCUCGUAAAAUAAGAUAUGACAGUAAUAUCAAUUGUAGGAUUGAAUCAUAGAUUGUCACAUCAAUCACAUCAAUCACAGUCACAUCAUAGUGACGAGCUGAAACUUUUGAUACCUCAGGUAAAUAAGCCAUCCCUAGAUUAAUUCUCGGUGAGGGCGAUUAGGCCAAGGUAUCCUCUGGUCCAGGCUAACCGAGAUGUUUUCUUAGUUAAUGUGACUGAGGUAAUCAUAGUAGACAUGAGAACUUUUAAAAACUUGGACAUGAAAAAGAAAAACAUACAAGAAUAUCCGGGGCCAUAGAAUUUUUCUGUGAUAUAAGGUGGACUUGGAAAAAUGCUUGCAAAAACAUGGAUAUGGAAAAGAACCAAAAGAAAAACAUACAAUACUAUAUCAAAGUACCAUGGAUAUGGUGAUUACAUAAAUGACAAAAACAUAAAUUUUAUCCAGUACCAAAAAAGAGAGUAAGAGACGAAACAAUUACAGGAUACUAAUUAGACAAUCAAUAAAUUUUAUGAAUAAAAAAGUUUUAAUUGGCUUCAAAUUAUUCAUUUAAGCAAGAACCCUUCUAGCCAAGCAAGCAGAUUUUUGACCCAAGUGCGUUUAGUCAUUUUCCAUUCUUUUGGAUGUAGUAUAUAAACUUACGCCUCAUGAUAUACUAUUCCAAUCAUGGAAAAUGGUUAUAUUUUCAUAGCAUCCACAUUUUCGUGCGACUUAACCUUUUUUUUUUUUUGAGAAUUCAAAUUAUUUUAUAUAUCUAUAAUUAGUUUACCUUUUCCUCGAAAAAAGGUCCUUAUCUAAGCUAACUAGGGAUCCCACAAUCAUUUGACCAAUGUUCUUAUCAAUUAAGUUGGAUCUUGAGAACCGUUGUCUCAAAUUUGACAAGGGCUUUAUAUCAAAUUAUUUUUUUUUCAAUGUAAAAACUUAUGAUUGUUUGGGUAACAAAAGUAGAAUGUACGAUAACACUAAUUCAAUAUCAAAAGUUUUUUUUCUGGUAAAAAAUUUUUAACAAAUUUUUUCGAGAUGCCAAUUGAGUUUUUUGCAAUCUUAGGGACAUGCCCAUCUGCCUAAAACUUAUGAUUGUUUGGGUAACAAAAAUAGAAUGUGCGAUAACACUAAUUUAAUAUCAAAAGUUUUUUCUCUGGUAAAAAAAUUUUAACAAAUUUUUUUUGACAAAUUGGCAAUUGAGUUUUUUGCAAUCUUAGGGACACGCCCAUCUGCGUCCAUUCUUCGGUACACAAUAAAAUAGGAAAGAGUAAAAAAUAAUUAGCUACAAUAUUAAUCCAGAGAUUAAUUGAAAGAGGUAACUUGAUAAGAAAAAUUAAAAUUGGGGGUAGAAAACAAAUUAAGGUAAACCUUCAAGGACUUCGACGACAAUCUUAAAUCCUAACGCCAUAAUUAAAAUCGUAAAACCCUUCGCAGAACCCUCUAUUCUUAUAGACCAGCAAGAAGAGCAGACCUGUCAGGCUGAUUUGAGGAUCUUCCUUCCGGUAAAAUUCAUUCUCAACCCUUCUUGUUGUUUCAUAGCCUUUCGGGCUUUUUUUUUCUUUUAUUUUUCUUUUUCCUCGGAAUUUUGAAUGUAAUUGAUUUGGGCCCUGAAAGCUGAAUUUCAUUUCCCUUGAUUAUGAUCUAUUUUGUAUAGUUCUUUUAGUUGCUUGGCUUUUUUUUUUGGGUUCAUUAAUUUUUUUUCUAUGAUCAUCUUGAUUUUGGAUAUUUUGAUAAUUUCGAUUGUGAUAUUCUUACAUGACAUAAAAAUAUUACAUUGUGAUAUUGAAGUAAAAUGAUUAAUGUUUUCGCCAUUUAUCAAACAAAUUAGGAGCAUAAGAUUGUGUUGGGAGGUAAAAAUAUGAAUUAAUAGAUUGAUGAGCUUGGAGCUCCAUCAUUUUCUUUCAUUCAGAAUUACUAAGCAUGAUCAAGGUGGUUGUAUCUAAUGUGAGAGAGCAGGGGAGCUGCUCCAUUCUUGAAUCAAGGUGUUUGUGGCGCGAGAAGGGAGGCCAUCUGUGACGAGUAUUUUGCUGCAUUAAGUAGAGAAGCUUAAAAGUUAAUUUGGAAGUUGAAUGCUUGAUGGUAAGUUAAAGAAAAGCUUACUGGAGGAAUUUGCUUGUAUUUCUGCAGAAGUGUAUUGUGGGGUCAUAAGUGGCUACUUUUUUGGUUGCAGUUUACAAACGUUGUCAUUUUUGUUGUAGGAUGAUACCCGUAAUACUCAUGGUGUAAAUUUUGUUGCAGUUUUUAUCAAAAGGUACCGUUGUAAGCUAGAGAUCUAUAAGUGGAGAAGGUUUUUGUGAUACUGGAUGUAUUUGCUUGGACUUUUGUGGAAGUCCCAUUUGGGAGUCGUAAGUGGCUAACUUUUGUCACUGUAGUUUCCUAACUUUGUGAUUGGUAACUGUAGGAUGAUAAGAGCAGUGCCUAUGCAUUUUUUUUUCCAGCUUUUUGUUCAAUAGGUACUGAUCUUAUAGUUGCAACAGUAAAAUUUGAUGUCUUGGACGCCAGUAGUAAAAAAUGGUUUAGUAUAGCAUUUUGUUUUGUUGCGCAAAAUCUGUGCAGUAUAGAUCAGUUUCCGUUCCUCUUAAAUGCCUGGAAGUUUUUUUUUUCUGGAGCAUGCCUGGAAGUAUUUUGAAGUUUUGUGUUUUCAAAAAUGCUGCCGUUAAUUCAUUUAGUUAUUUUUAUUGAGCCUUUGAUGUAGCUAGCUAUUUGUACUAGUUGUAUGCAUUGAUUGGCAACCAUAUAAAGAGCUACUGUGCCUUGGUUAAAUCAGCGUGAAGCCACCCUAACAAACCUGUCUUGUGGGAUGGAGAAAACCUCAAAUCGGAUAGGUGAAGAGAAAUGUUGAUGGGGCCUCUUCAUACAACCCUGGAAAUGCCGGAAUGGGUGGAGUGAUUAGGGAUGAACAAGACUGUUAUCUAUCAGGCUUUAUGGCUAAUCUGGAUAAAAAAGCAAUGUGGUGGCAGAAUUUUGGGGGAUGAACUACGGAGACUCCAUGGCAUGGAAUAUGGGAUACAAAAAGAUUACUCUGGCGUUGGACUCACAAGUUGGGAUACAAUUGGUAGGUGAAUCAAUCACCUACCAUUGGACUCACUUUAUACAAUUGGUAGGUGAAUCAAUCAGACACUGGAUAAACCAAGUGUGGGAGUGUAAGAUGGAGCAUUGCAGGAGAGAAACGAACAUGGCUGCUGAUUGGUUAGCAAAGCAAAAUCUUAAUAGUCAGCUAGGUUUACAAGUAUGUCCGGAACCUUCUACUCAUCUUAAGCAAAUCCUGUUAGCUGAUGUAAUUUAGGUGGCAUACCCACAUCACGCAGGGGACCUAUAGUCCUCCACUGGAGCACCAAAAAAAAAAAGGGAGAGGAGCUAUUGUGAAUAAUUGAACUGCAUCAUCUUGACUUAAGCGGAAAGGGAGAAAUGUUCGAUCUCCUGUCUUGAAUCAAAAACUACUGAAGAUGCUCUCUUUGGCUGCUUGUCCUCCUGUCCCUCUUCUUCGUCCAUCUCCUCUAAUUUUUAUCUUGUUAUGCAAAUUGUGAAUCUUCUCCUUUGUCUCCUUUUACUUUUCCGUUCUACCUUUCUGAGAUAUGCUGCUGCAUGAGCUGGGAAUCAGUUCUAAAUCUCUGCAGUUGGUUAUAAGUUUUCUGACAUUAAUUGCUGCAUUUAGUGUCCAAAUAAUGGUGAGUUUUCUGAAUUUUAUGGCCAAAAUGCUGGAAAUGGUUAUUCUGAAAUUGUUGAAUGACUUCGUAGUUAUGUGACUAUUUGUGACGGAACUUUAUGUGCUGCUGGAACAUUUACCAGUCCAUACUUUAGAUUCUGGUUAUUGCCAAAGGUAAUGACAAAGACGGGGCAGACACAUGGGUGGUGGAUAGGGGAACACGUGGACAUGGAUAGGGGGGACGCUAAAAACAGAGUAUUGAUUUUUUCUUCAAUUCCUGCAGUCUUUCCAGAUAAACCUCCAAUUGAAGCUCAAAAACAACAGGCUUUCAGCUUCUAGUAGGACUACUUGUUUGGGUAAGUUGCAGUUCAAUACUCUGCUCUUCGAUCGUUCAAUUUCUAUGUACAUUUUCAUAUAUAUUGUUGAUUCUCAAAAUUUUGUGCUAUUAUUUGCUUAUAAUGAUGAAAAUUUGGUGUUUUAAAGAUGUGGGUUUUUCUAUUUCUGCUGUGCGGAUGAGGGGUUUUGGGUGGGUUGGGUUGGUGGAGAUGGUUUAGGUAUCAUAUAUGUUGAUGAAUAACCAUUUCCUAGGAAAAUGUUUUGCUUUGAUUUUCACUUCAAUAGUUUAUUUGUUCAUUAACUAGUAAUGGGCAAUUCUUGGGUUUUUCUUUUUUUUCCCUUUUUCGAGAAUGCAAAACUUAAGAUGAGAAAGUAAAAGUUGGGGUUGGCCUCCAUGCAUUUGUUUAGAUAUAUAUCCUGGAAACUAUUGGAUAAUUUUUUAACAUCAUUACUUAAGGAAAGUUUGUAGCUUUUAGAUUUUUUGUUUUGGUUUUAAUUGAUUAAGAACAGUGAGCAGUUGAAUUGCUAUAAGAGAUGGAUACAAGUUCUUUGUCUUACCAUAUCAUGAUUGGUUUUAAAGAUAUAUGACUAUCUGUGUGAAUGUUGGUUUACAUUCCUCGCUACAUAAAUGAGGUUGUCGCAAUACUAUGGACAUAGGGGGGUGUGAAAUGGUUUGUUGCUAAUGGUUUUAUUGCAUCAAGAUAUGAACUUGAAUCAAGGCCUGUGGUCUAAGUGUAGUCAGUUUGCUUGCGGAUUGUCUGUUGUUUGAGCUGUUUGUUGUUCAUCAAGAUAUACGUCUACUAUUUGUUGCAUACUUCCUUUUCGAGUCAUUCUUCCUGAAUUCUGAGUCUUUAACAAACAAUUGAGCAAUUUCAGGUUUAGUACUAAGCUUUCCUUGAAGUAUUGCCCACGCCCAUUUGUGUUAUAGAUUCUGUUGAAUAGGACUUCUUCUCAAUGAGGGCAUCUUGUUGAGACUAGAAGAAUCAAGGUUCCUCCCGAAGUGGCUCGUUUAUGGUGUUUUUUCCUUCCAUGAAAUUGCUGGAAAUUGGAAAAGCAGAAUUAUGAAGAGUCCCGUUUCUUGUACGAUUCAAGUUCCUGUUCAGUUACCCUUACAUAGGCCCAAGGAGGUUAGCUUUGAGCUUUGGGUUUCCUGCUUGAUACUUUAUUGUUCUACUUGCUGAUAUGAAAAACUUUUUUCCCAGAUGUGGAGCACCAGAGUGAAUCCUCUCUUACAUUUCAAAUUCGUGAAUUGUAGUUUCUUUUCUAUGCAGGAGGUCUCAAGUGUAAUUACCUGUGCUGAAAAGGUAAGCUAGAUAGAUUAUGUUUAUUGCUUAUUUCAUGAAUGAACAAAUGUAAGGGAUAUUUCUACUCAGUGCAUAUUAAGUAUUCAAGCUUCUAUGUCUAUGUCCUUUGUGGAGUGUAGGCAAGAAGAACCGUUGUCAAUGACACAAAUUCUCCUGAAGAUGUAUGUGAAUAUGGAUCAUUUGACAGGUAGCCGUAUUGUUCCAAUCAAAUUAAUUACUUUGUAUGGUUCUCUUUCAUUGGUCUUUCUAUGUUCAACACUUUGUUUUUUUCCUUCUGCUUGGAUGUCAGUUCAGGCUUAUGCUGCGGCUCAUCUAUAUGAAUGGAAGUUAAAUCUCAUUGUAACUUCAUUAGCAGGAAAUCCACAAAAAUGGUCAGAAAGAUGGGGAAGAAAGAACAUCACUUGUGGCAGAAAAGAGAUUCUGCUAGGUCUGGCCAGAAAGCACUAAAUCUUGUUCGAAAUGUAUGUGUGGUUUUCUUUUGGUUGUUCUUAAAUAGGUUAUAUCUUUCACUUUUUGAAGAGUUAAGUUCUUUGUUUUGCAUGAUUGAAGGAUGAGGACCUAUUGUUUUGUUCUAAUGAAAAAUUUUCCCUAUAAAUACAGUGGUUUUCUGUGAUUAUUUGGCUUUGAUUUCUAUCUUAAGACAAAACUCAACUUGGCAGAUUUCUGGACUUCCAAAUGAAAAAGAGGCUGUGUAUGGUGCACUGGAUAAAUGGAUAGCUUGGGAGGCAGAGUUUCCUUUGAUUGCUGCAGCUAAGGCGCUAAGAAUCUUAAGGAAAAAGAGUCAAUGGGUUAGAGUAAUACAAGUACGGUGCUUGUAAGGUUUUUGGAUAUCUUUAGCUGCUGAACUUGCAUGGUUGUGAGUGCUGACCUUGCUUUAUGCAGCUCUGGUAUUGAAUGACAUUUGCUUGCUAAGUCUAGGAAAUCUCUCUCUCUCUCUCUCUCUCUCUCUCUCUCUCUCUCUCACCACACACACACACAUGCAAGCAUAUGGCCAUGGGCACAAACAAAUAUGUAGAGAGCUUGUCUUUGUCUUAAGUCAAAUGCAGACAAUGAGAACACUGCUAUUAGUAUUUUUUUCUUGGGAUAUUUUCAACAUAAAGUUAAUCUAUAUGUGGAUUUUAGUCGAAUUAUGCUUAAGAAUGCAAUAGUAAGGUUUGCUUUCCAAGAUAUCUCUUUACUUCAAUUGCAUGUCCAAGAAACUUUCUUUUCAAUAUCAUGGUAUUAGCAAUCAUGUUUCCUUUUUCAUCUGGAAAUAGACAUUGAAAUGAUGAUGGAACUUUUUAGAUGUCACUAAAUUUAAGUAUCGGGUGUUCCAUAUAUGUAUGAUAUGUAUUAUAAGUUUGUUUACAGAAAUAAUGAAUUGCAGAGUUAAACACUUUGAGUGCUGGAUUAGCUUUCUUGGUCUUUAGCUCUUGAUGGGACUGAAACAUGUUACAUUUAUAAUGCGUUGAAGAAUAAUGAAAUGGUUGAAUAGCUUUUUUGUCUUAAUUCACGCAUACUGCAUGUUUUAUGUGCAAAAAUACAAAAAUUGAUGAAGUGGCCUAUUGGUACUCUUGAUUCAUUUUGUUUCACUAUGCAAUGAUGCCUACAUCAGUAUGUUGUUAUGUGAUUAUUUAGAUAGACCACCUGCAUCUAACAAGAUCUUUGUUACUCAGUUUGCCAAGUGGAUGCUUAGCAAAGGCAAGGGACAACCAUGACAACAUAUGACUCCCUUCUGUUGGCAUUUGAUAUGGAUUGCAGGAUAGACGAAGCUGAAAGACUAUGGAAUAUGAUUUUGCACAUUCAUACCCGCUCUACCUCUAAGAAGCUAUUUUCUAGGAUGAUAUCCUUGUAUGAUCAUCACAAUAUGCCAGACAAGGUUAUUGAGGUAAACCCCUCUGGUGCCUCUCUUCCACUUUUGUUAAGGGGAACUGAUUUCGUAACUUCUCUUUUUUGUCUUGCAUUAUGGUCUUUUAUGAAAUUGUGCAAACUUAAGAACAUUUCACAAUCCUUGCAUGCUAAAUUUCAGGUAUUCGCGACAUGGAAGAGUUGGGGAUCAAGCCAGAUGAAGAUUCUCUAAGAAAGAUUGCACGUGCAUUUGGAACAUUAGGUCAAGUAGACAAAAAGAAACUAGUUCUUGAUCGCUACCAAGGUAAAUGGAAGUAUAUCCACUUCAAUGGAGAGCGUGUUAGGGUGAGAAGGAUCCAUUGUGAUGAAUAAGCUACUGAAAGAAGUGACCAAUUAAAUUUGAGACUAGUUCUGAUGUUGGUACAUGUUCUGCCCCAGUAGUUUACGCAUCCCCUUUUAGCAAUGUACAUAGGCCAUUGGCUAAAUGAUACUAUGUUGAUAACAAGAAAUCUAGUGAUUUGUCAUGUUGUAUAGGUAAAAGCAGCAGUUGGUAGAAUUGGAUGAAAUAAUUCGUUUUGUAGCUAUUAUUUUCUUUCAUUCAAGAACAUUAGAGCAUCUGUUGUGGUCUUGGACACGGCUGCGGAUGGUUAUUCGAUACCAUUCCUGGAAAUUGGUGUUUAUCUUGAAAAUAGCAAGUGCAAUUUCAAUGGCUACGGGCGUGUGGCUCUUAAGAAUCCUCUCUCAGUUUUUCCUUUAAUUUGGUUAUAAUUGUCUCUUGAUCUUAAUUUGAUACUGCUUUGUGUUUCUUCCAAGGUAAUAUUUGUUAUCUAAUGUAUAAGUACCCUUUAUAAUCAAUGGACUUGAACAUUUUACAUAUGAGAUGGAUAUGUUGAUACAAAUUCAGGGUUUAGGGCCAGAAUCAGCUGCGUUAUCAUCAUUUAAGAGUUCUGUCAUCUUAAGGAUGUUUUAGUCUCAUGUUGGAUUGUAGGGUUUCUAAUUACCCUUCUAUUUAUAGAGGAUAGAGGAUGAGUAAAAUUCUAUUCUGCUGUAAACGUAUUCAUUCCUUUUUUUUUUCUGAACUCUGUGAUGUGAAAUGCUCUGUACUUGGAAUUCGAUAUUUAAUAAUGGUUUCAUCUUCAGCGUGGUCAUAAAGAAUUGAUACCUUCGUCGUUCGUAUUAUGGGAUUCAUAACAUUUUUGGAUAAUUUGCAGUUGUAAAAAUAUGCCUGUUAAUGGAAUAGGAAUUUGGUGAAAAUUCUAAGUAAAUUAAAUAUAUAUCAAUUUGACUGCCUAUAUUGAAUCACACCAUUGGGCAAAGUAAUCAGUGAACUCUGAUUUUGAGCAUGGUGAAUAAGUUGGACAGGUUUUUCAGUUAUGUAGAAUUUGAAGAUUUUUACUGACUAAUUUUGUUAGAUUAUAAUACAGUCCAUAUUUGCCAUCAUGUCCAUAUUAUAAUACAGUCCAUAUUCGCCAAAUGAGCUCACAUGCAAAACAAGAAGUGGCUAGGCUAUGAUCCCUAGUUUCACUCCGAUGCUCAAGUCAGAAGUUGCUAGGAGUUAUAUUGAGUGAUUUAGGUUACCUACCUUUUCAAGUGAAUAAGGUGCUGGUAUUUAUAUUAGAAAAGAUAGUUUUAGCGUAGUUUAGUUUUGUCUCUUUUUCUUGGCUCUUUUGAUGGCCUGGACCUCAGUGAAAUUACUUGAAGAUUUUCUCAUGAGGCGUGGCUAAGUUUGUCUAGUCAAGAACAACGAAGGAUUUGGUUCUACUAAAUUUGUGAGAUCGAAUUAGUUUUUAUUUAUUUUCAUUAUUCACUGGUAUUUGUCCAUCUUCUGCUUUAUAUUCAUAUGGUUGUUUUAUUAUUCGAUUAUCCAGGGCCCGGAUUCUAGAUUAAUUCAAUAACCUGAAGCCAAUUAGGGUAGUUAAAUCCGUAAUUGUUUAAUUAUUCUAAACUGGUGGCAACUGGCAUGAUUGGGUUUGUGUCAGGGAAAUAGACAGGCUAACUUAAAGAGACCCUCGUAGCGUGUUGAUUGGUUAGAAUUAGGCUCUUCUAAUUAUUCAUGCAAUUAGGGAAUUGAACUUCUAUGGUCGUACCUAGGGUUAUUUCCUGAUUAGAGAAAUAGUCAACGGUCGUACCUUGGCUAUCGACAAAUUGAGGAAGAGUUGGUUGUUUAUCGCGUGUAUGACAACUAUAACUAAUUUAUCAGAUAGUAACUGGAAUAAUCCUUGCAUCUGUGAUCGAAUUAAGUGAACCAUCUCCGAAGUUGUCUCUUGGCUAGAGUUCAUCCAUUUUUAUUGUUAUUGUGAUAAUUAGUUAUUUGAGUUGUAGUUACUUUAUUUUAUUUUAAUUUAUUCCAAGUAAUUUAGUUACUCUCAUUUUCAAAAACCCCCCAUAUCUGGAACUUGAGAAGAAAUUAAAUUAUCCCCAAUCCCUGUGGAUUCGACCCUGCUUACCGCUAUAUACAGAAUUUGUAUUUUAUUUGAGCAGGUAUUUAUUAUUGCACAGGUUCGGCCCCUGUCAAUUUUUGGCGCCGUUGCCGGGGACUGGUGCCAGAUUAAUUUGUUUCUUUUUGAGUUCAUCUUGUUUUUAUUUUUAUAUAUUUAUUUUUCUCUUAUCAUUUUUUUAUUAUAUAGUUUAUGGCUUCUAACACUCCGUAUUUUGGUGAUAUACUGGAUUUUGUUUUCGGGGAAGGCAAUGAAAUUGAUUGUUUUUCUAAGUUUGCAUACUUAGAGGCAAUAAACUCUAUUAAAAAAAGAAUGGCUGCUGCAACCUGUAAAAUUUGUUAUGCCAGGGAUCAUUCAACCGGUAUGUGCCCCGAAUAUCAAGAUAAUCUGGAUGUCCCAAUCAAUAAUUAUGGAGAUUUUUCACCCUGGUCUCAAAUGUGGUAUAACCCUAAUCCAUACGGGUAUGAUCAAGGAGGGUGGGAUAACUCCAAUUAUAAUUAUCCAACGGGGCCAAUGAAUUUUCAGCAGUAUGAGUCUCAAGAAUCAUCAUCUAUGUCAGGUAUGUCUCUUGAAGAGAUAGUUGAAUUAACAUAUCAAAUUCAACAGGAGACACAAGUGAGUAGGCGUAACCUAGCAGAUCAAAUGGAACAAUUGACAUCCAAGAUAGAGCGAUUAGCUUCUCACCUUGAAGAAUUGCCCUCACAAACCAACAUUAGCCUUGAGGAAGAUGAGAGUGCAAUUAUCCGGUCAAAUGAUAUGGAACUGCAAGAGCUUCAAAGAGACGAAUCUAAAGAUGCAGUUGAAAAGGAAGUUAAUGUGCAGAAAAUGAGCCCCCAAUAUCAACCAGUCCAAGUGAAUGAAUCCAGUGAACGAUCUCCAAAUGCGGUGACAUCUUCUCCACUCCUUAAUCAAUACUUUCCUGACUCCUAUUCUUUAACUCCUGUUACUGAAAUUGAUUUUAUUAUACCAGACGAUUUUGAAUUUCAUGCCAGGAAUAAGUUAAGAGUCAUGAUGGCAAAAUAUUUCGAACCAAUAAGUGCUCGGGAUGGAGGAGUGGGUGAAGAUUUAAGAUCAUCACUUGUUUGUUUGGCGCCAUCUACUAAUCCAUGGAAGACCGUAGCUCGGGUGGUCAAGAAUUACUCCAUUUACGAGGGCUAUCAGGAUUACAUAGAAGAUGAAUCACUGAAACGAGCUACACGAUUUUAUCCUCCGUGAACAAGCAUAGCAAUGUCUAGCCAAAGACAUUAAAGAAAGGCGCUGCUUGGGAGGCAACCCAAGGCUCUUUGUUUUAGUUUUCUUAUGUUUUUGGAGUUUUUGUUAAGUGUUAGUUGCAUUUAGUGAUUUGUUGUUUGGUGGCAGGGAAUUAGCGGUUAGGCGUACCCACGCCAAGUGGUCACGCCUGAGAAAAAGGAAUUUUCGCUCAGGUUCUGCGAACUCCAUAGUAGUUAGACGUGCCCACGCCAGAUGGUCACGCUUGAGGGAAAGGAAAUUUUCGUUCAGGAUCUGCGGACUCUAUAGCAGUUAGACGUGCCCACGCCUAGGCCAGAGGUUCCUUAUUAAAAAAAAAAAAAAAAAGAGAUAAAAUUUUUACAAAAGCAAUUUCAAUUUUUGGAGAAUUUCGGUAAGACUAGUUAAAAAAAAAAAAAAAACCAUUUUAUUUUCUUUUUCUUCUUCUCUUCUUUCUUUCUUUCUUCUUUUUCUUUCUUCCUUUCUUUUCUUUCUUUCUUUUCCUUUUCUUCUUCUUCUUCCCCGCUGCCUGGCUUUUUCUUUUUCCUUCUUUUCUUUUUCGGCUGACGCUCCUCCAUCGCGCGUCGCCGCCUCCCUCGCUCACCUCCAACUCGCCGCGCCUCUCUCUUCCCACCAAGCAGCCGCGCGCCUCCCUCGCUCAUCGUCGCGAGCUCUCGCCCAGGAGCCGCCGCGACCGCCGCCGCUCCCCUGCUGAUGGCCAUCCACGCGCAGCAGCGCUCGUCCAGCCCGCGCCGCGCCAUCGCUUCUCCUCGCUAUCUCCCUCACUCUCCCUCACGAUCCACCACCAAGGAGCUCCACCUCGCGCGCGCGACCCCAGCCCGCGCCGCCUGUCCACGCCUCUCCACCAGCUCCCCACGGCGCUGCUACCCCUGGGCUUACGCCACCACCAGCUCACCCAAGGCGCUCCGCCCUUCUUUUCUCCCGCCGUGGACUCAGCCUCCGCCGCGCCCCCCGCUCCAGCUCAGCCUCACCUCGCGGCCAGGAGCCCCCCUCGCGCACCACCAGGCGAGACAACCCCACCCGCGAGCUUUUCUGUCGUGCGGCUGUCACCACCUGUCCUAUUUAGACAGGUGGAGGUAUUGUGAAUUCUGCCCCAAUUAGUUUCACUCUCUGAAAUUUGUGGUUGGAUUUCUUGAUUGAUAAAAGAAGGUGAUAAUUUGGGCAUUUUCUAGGGUCAAUUUUGGACAAAAUUGGGUUUAAUUGCUAUCUGUGGGGGUGUCUUCUGCUAUUUAUUGAAUUGUUGGCCUUUUGAUUACUUAUUCCCUGCGACUCACCAGUGGUACUGGUUGAGAUCUUUUGCCUAUCGUUGUGGCUUAUAUUUGAAGAUAUUUGCUUAUUUUGCAGUUUCAGUUCUUAUGGUUGAGUUGCUGCCGUUGAAUUUAAUUCUUUCCUGUCUGUGCACCAGUGGUACUGGUUGCGGUGUUGCUUACAAUUCUUAAAUUUUCUCGAAUUCUAAUCGGUAGUUGCUGGAAUUGCUUGUUUGUUGGGAUUCUUAAAAUUCUUAAGGCUUGGUAUCUUGAAGUGGCUACUUGAAUGUCCACUUGGUGACAUUUGUUGAGUUUCACUUGCUCCAAUUGGUUGAAUUCAUUGCUCUGUUGGGGUCCCUACUGGUAUCACUUGACUUCUGCUUUGUUAGUUUCUGUAUCGUGCCCCUUGAUCUUAUUUUGACUGAAUUGGAGACCCAGUGCAUAUUCAUUCAAUUUGCUAUGUUGUUAGGGUACUUUUCUAGCCUUUGGGGUGCCUCAGUCGUGUAUUGUAUUAAUUGGGUUGGCCAUGUGGUUCCCUCCUUUCCUGUGUAUACACCAGUGGUACUGGUUAUGCUAAUUUGUUUACAAUUUCUUAUUUCGAUAUGAUUGAGCAUCUGUGACUGAGUAUCCUUCGAUCUUGCUGCUUUGUUGGGAUCGUUUUUAGUGUCAAUUGAGUAUCAUUUGGUACUUUUUGCCUGGAGUCUAUUGAGCUGCCUUUGGUUGGGGUUUAUUGCAUUUAAUUGGUGCAUUGGAUGGCUCCUGUGCCAUUUCCGUUGCUUAUUGAAGUAGGUUGCCUCUAUUCGCCUUAUGUGGGAGUAUUUUGUCCUUUUCAUUUCAAUUGCUAAAUUCAUUGGAGCACUUGUUGCGAUUUUGGGAUGCAUUGUUAUUGCAUUUGGCUAGGCAGGGGACCACUCAGGGGUUAACGACUGGGUCCAACUCCGAAUGCAAGUUGAGCGACUAGAGACUCGAAUGACCCACAGUGACGUCGACUUGCAUAACAUGGUGCAGAAUUCGGCAGCACUCCGCCCGACCCACCCUUGUUCUGACAACUUCAGGGAAGUACCGUUGCCCUUCUCCUUCCUUUUGCUAUUAGUUUAUCACAUUGAGGGCAAUGUGUGAAUUAGGUGUGGGGGGGGAUCAGUUUGGGUGCUAGUAUUUCCAGUUUUCGAUUUUUAGGUGUUUUUCCUUUGUUUUUAGUUUGAUAUUGAUCUCCUUUUCAUUUAUUUCUUUUAUUAGUGGUCAGUUCUUAAAUGAAUACCAAGUUUUGAUGCUGGAGUGUUGUCUCUAAUUAUGCUAUUGCCAAGUUUUAGUAAUAAAAAUGUAUCAAGUUGAUGUGGUUGAGUUCAGGAACAUCUCUUUGGUGAAUAUCAAUAAUUGCUUAACUUUUUUUUUAAAUUUUUGGUUAACUUUUCUAGGCAUAGGGAAUGAUUGUUGGCAGUUUUCAUGUGAAUUGGUCCAGUUAUUAAUUUUAGUUCUCCAUGUCUGGAAAUUUGAGGCUGGCUGCUGUUAUUAUUGUGUUGCUUUUAGACAUCGUGCUAUAUGGUUGUAAAUAAGAGUUGACUGUACUCCGCUAGUGGUUACUACUGAGUAACCGGGGAUCUUCACCUAAAGUGUCGAUUCUCGCGUCAAAAAGUAGUAAUUGCUAUGAGUACGUGGUCACGUGGCGAUAGAAGCUUAGUAACCGGGCUCCUUCAUCUGGCCAAUGUUGGAGUUCGCGUCAAAAGGCUCAAAUGGCUAGCGACUAAGUCUUUUGUUACUAUUGAAGAAAAAAACAAUCAAAAAAAAAAAAGAGAGAGAAAAGUAGAAAAAAAAAGUGAAAAAAAAGUGAAGGUUGUGUUAGUGUGUAAUAAAAGUCAGCUUGCCGAAUUAUGGGUUUAAUGUUGAGAUUUUGGUUAAUAGCUGGACCAUUUACUGAUAAAUGUGAGCAACCAUUCCUUUUUCUUAGAUUAGUUUGCUUUAAAUUGGAGAAGUUGGUGGUUGGAAAGCUAACCGGAGUGGUCUUUCUUGGAUCUUAACUGUGAUGCUUGAUAUAUGUUUUACUGGGUACCUUGGCAAUACGGUAGUUGGAGCAAUAACCAUUAUUAAAUUUCGGUGUCUGUAUACUUUUCCCAUGCUUGAGGGCAAGCAUGAUUCAGGUGUGGGGGGAAUUGAUAGGGUGUUAAUUGUUAGUAAUUUUAUUGUUAAUUUCCCCCUUUGUCCUUGCCAAAUAUUGUUUUAAUUGUUGAUAUAUACUCAUUUUUGGUAUUUGGACCUAUCUACAGGAAGUAGAACUGAAAAAUGCUAAAAAGGGAAUUUUAUUGAGGAAAAUCCUCCACACCUUAGAGCCUCCAGCAGAUAUACAAGUCGGGCCCAUAUGGUGCUACCAAAAACUCCAUUUUCGGUUGCUGAUGGAGAGCUCUCAUUAUCGGUAGUUGGCUUGUACGUGUAGGAGUCCUCCUACCAAAAGGAAACAAGAAGAGUGGAAUUGGCAGGAGCUUUCCUCUUGUACUUGGACUUCCAAUUUAUUCGGCGGGGACCACAGGAAAAAGAAAGGCAUUAGUCAUUGGACUUUGGAAGGAAAGAAACGUAGGAAGCUUUGAGAGUUGUUUUUGUUCCUUAUUUGUGGGGACCACGGAGAGAAGUGAAGCAAUUUGUUUUAGAUUAGGAGACAAUUCUUUUCCUUUGGCCGCGGCUUUAUCUUUGGGGAAUUGAGAGUUUUUUUUAGGAUAGUUUUAGUUUUGUUUCUUUCUUGGCUCUUUUGAUGGCCUGGACCUCAUUGGAAUUACUUGAA
Molecule: long non-coding RNA, 30950 nt
Filed under: Coffea arabica (coffee)
Lineage: Eukaryota; Viridiplantae; Streptophyta; Magnoliopsida; Gentianales; Rubiaceae
Description: long non-coding RNA (CARA_LNC006657)
Source: RNAcentral